RNAcentral lists this ribosomal RNA (460 nucleotides) under uncultured bacterium. Its description in RNAcentral is "partial 16S ribosomal RNA". It matches the Rfam family "Bacterial small subunit ribosomal RNA", at positions 338 to 795 of the family's 1533-position model. The record is from RNAcentral.
CCUACGGGUGGCAGCAGUGAGGAAUAUUGGUCAAUGGACGCAAGUCUGAACCAGCCAAGUCGCGUGCAGGAAGACGGCUCUAUGAGUUGUAAACUGCUUUUAUACAAGGGUAAACUCAGAUACGCGUAUCUGUCUGAAAGUAUCUUACGAAUAAGGAUCGGCUAACUCCGUGCCAGCAGCCGCGGUAAUACGGAGGAUUCAAGCGUUAUCCGGAUUUAUUGGGUUUAAAGGGUGCGUAGGCGGUCGGAUAAGUUAGUGGUGAAAUCUUGAGGCUCAACUUUGGAAUUGCCUUUGAUACUGGUCGUCUUGAGAAUAGUUGAGGUAGGCGGAAUGUAUGGUGUAGCGGUGAAAUGCUUAGAGAUCACACAGAACACCGAUUGCGAAGGCAGCUUACUAAGCUACUUCUGACGUUGAGGCACGAAAGCGUGGGGAUCAAACAGGAUUAGAUACCCGAGUAGUC